ACACGCUGGGCAGCUGCUGUGCUUGUGUCUCCUCCACCCUGAGAGUCCGAUCCAGCCAAGAUCCGGACGCAGUUGGAGUGUGUCCCAGACCUUUGUCCUCUCGCUGGGCGAAAGCUGUGAGUUUCCGCCGUACCCGGCUGCCUGACCCCUUCACUUCGGGUUCUGAAACCUCAAAUUACAGGGCCCCUCUUUAUGCAUGGCAUUGUCUGAGCCCUUUUCGGGGAGUUCGCAAUCAUUCAUCUUCAAGUUUACAUAAACCAUGUAGUAGGAAUUUUUCUAACUAAUGUCUGAUUGGCCCUAAAGCCCGUGCUAUUCUGCAUUCACUCCUUGUUAUCUGGGGUAGUUAGAGCCAGAGAGAAUCUGCAGAGUGAAAAUUGGACUGCCUGGGGCAGGGAUAACCUUGCGGAGCACUGUUCCCUUCACCAACCCCACCAUCAUCAAAGGGCUAUUGGUAUCGGAGCUUCCUACGCGCUGAACUUCUGGAGUAGCCUCCUCGAGGUCUUUCCACUAGCCUCAAGCUAUCGACAGAAGUUUGGCACUUUGCUCUAGGGUUCGCUGUCUCCCCCAUUAAUUCCCUGGUCUAGAAGUUAGACUUGAUGACUUGUAAAGUGUGGUCCCAUUCAUGGAUUACAGUUCGCGGGUUGCCACUGAAAUUGUUUACAGAUGGCUGAAAAAGUCCCUGCAGAGCUGCUUCCCCAUCAGGGCCAAGUGUUCAAGUUAUAUGUCUCCAGAGAAGGGCAAAUACUGCCUUUCACCAGAUUCAAGGGAAGGAAGGUGAAGAAUCAGGAGAGGGGACCCCUGGGGAGCAAGGAUGGCUUACCAGGAUCAGAGCAUCUGCCCCUUCCAAGGGACAUCCUUCCACCACGAGUUCAAAGUGGAUCCACAGACUGUUCCAUCCUGCAAAUUACAGAAGACGGGGUGUCAUUCAGCUUUGUCCCUCAAGGGCCAGAAUGUAACAGCAUGCUGGUUUCUUAAGUGAACUAGUGAAUAAAUGUAGCUCAGUGAGUGUGGA
This 1012-nucleotide long non-coding RNA is filed under the name Homo sapiens (human). RNAcentral describes it as "HSALNT0349344". The record is from RNAcentral. Lineage: Eukaryota; Metazoa; Chordata; Mammalia; Primates; Hominidae.